UACGUAGGUGGCAAGCGUUGUCCGGAUUUAUUGGGUUUAAAGGGUGCGUAGGCGGCCCUGUAAGUCAGUGCUGAAAUAUCCCGGCUUAACCGGGAGGGUGGCAUUGAUACUGCGGGGCUAGAGUCCGGAAGAGGCGAGUGGAACUCCUGGUGUAGCGGUGGAAUGCGCAGAUAUCAGGAAGAACACCGACGGCGAAGGCAGCUCGCUGGGACGUUACUGACGCUGAGGCGCGAAAGCGUGGGGAGCAAACAGG
RNAcentral lists this ribosomal RNA (253 nucleotides) under uncultured bacterium. RNAcentral's name for it is "partial 16S ribosomal RNA". It matches the Rfam family "Bacterial small subunit ribosomal RNA", at positions 524 to 776 of the family's 1533-position model. The record is from RNAcentral.